This 247-nucleotide ribosomal RNA is filed under the name uncultured bacterium. RNAcentral's name for it is "partial 16S ribosomal RNA". It matches the Rfam family "Bacterial small subunit ribosomal RNA", at positions 523 to 769 of the family's 1533-position model. The record is from RNAcentral.
AUACGUAGGGUGCAAGCGUUAAUCGGAAUUACUGGGCGUAAAGCGUGCGCAGGCGGCUUUGCAAGACAGAUGUGAAAUCCCCGGGCUCAACCUGGGAACUGCAUUUGUGACUGCAAGGCUGGAGUGCGGCAGAGGGGGAUGGAAUUCCGCGUGUAGCAGUGAAAUGCGUAGAUAUGCGGAGGAACACCGAUGGCGAAGGCAAUCCCCUGGGCCUGCACUGACGCCCAUGCACGAAAGCGUGGGGAGC